GGUACAAAGAGCAGCUAACUCGCGAGAGUAUGCAAAUCUCAAAAAAGCCAUCCUCAGUUCGGAUUGGAGUCUGCAACUCGACUCCAUGAAGUUGGAAUCGCUAGUAAUCGCGGAUCAGCAUGCCGCGGUGAAUUACCGGUUCCCGGGCCUU
This 151-nucleotide ribosomal RNA is filed under the name uncultured Syntrophus sp. RNAcentral's name for it is "partial 16S ribosomal RNA". It matches the Rfam family "Bacterial small subunit ribosomal RNA", at positions 1236 to 1382 of the family's 1533-position model. The record is from RNAcentral. Lineage: Bacteria; Pseudomonadati; Thermodesulfobacteriota; Syntrophia; Syntrophales; Syntrophaceae.